This 397-nucleotide ribosomal RNA is filed under the name uncultured bacterium. RNAcentral's name for it is "bacterial SSU rRNA". It matches the Rfam family "Bacterial small subunit ribosomal RNA", at positions 362 to 776 of the family's 1533-position model. The record is from RNAcentral.
UAUUGCACAAUGGGGGGAACCCUGAUGCAGCAACGCCGCGUGGAGGAUGACGCAUUUCGGUGUGUAAACUCCUUUUAUAUGUCAAGAAAAUGACGGUAGCAUAUGAAUAAGCACCGGCUAACUCCGUGCCAGCAGCCGCGGUAAUACGGAGGGUGCAAGCGUUACUCGGAAUCACUGGGCGUAAAGGACGCGUAGGCGGGCUUGUAAGUCAGGUGUGAAAUCCUACAGCUUAACUGUAGAACUGCACUUGAAACUACUAGUCUAGAGUAUGGGAGGGGGAGAUGGAAUUAGUGGGGUAGGGGUAAAAUCCGUAGAUAUCACUAGGAAUACCUAAAGCGAAGGCGAUCUCCUGGAACAUUACUGACGCUAAGGCGUGAAAGCGUGGGGAGCAAACAGG